ACCGUGCAAAGGUAGCGCAAUCACUUGUCCUUUAAAUGAAGACCUGUAUGAAUGGCAUAACGAGGGCUUUACUGUCUCCCCUUUCAAGUCAGUGAAAUUGAUCUGCCCGUGCAGAAGCGGACAUAAAAAUAUAAGACGAGAAGACCCUUUGGAGCUUAAGAUAUAAGCCAACUAUGUCAAUAAGCGCGUUACACGCUUUAAACUCGAUAGCUAUGGCCCACAUCUUCGGUUGGGGCGACAAUGGAGAAAAAUAAAGCCUCCACGUGGCACGGAAAUUUCCCAAAAAUCAAGAGCAACCCCUCUAAAUAUCAGAAUCUCUGACCUACAGAUCCGGCUCCUUGCCGAUCAGCGAACCAAGUUACCCUAGGGAUAACAGCGCAAUCCUCUUCUAGAGUUCCUAUCGACAAGGGGGUUUACGACCUCGAUGUUGGAUCAGGACAUCCUAAUGG
RNAcentral lists this ribosomal RNA (449 nucleotides) under Brachyhypopomus walteri. Its description in RNAcentral is "partial 16S ribosomal RNA". It matches the Rfam family "Bacterial large subunit ribosomal RNA", at positions 1945 to 2553 of the family's 2925-position model. The record is from RNAcentral. Lineage: Eukaryota; Metazoa; Chordata; Actinopteri; Gymnotiformes; Hypopomidae.